UGUAUUCAGUCUCUGCCUGGCCACUAUCUGAUCUGACUUUAUACCGUUAGCUCCCUUUCCUCCUCCUGGAGCUCGAGAAAGCAGUUCCGUUUCAGGACUGAAAACAGUGAGAGGCAGAGAUCAGAUCACCAUUUGUCUUUGGGAAACUGCUGGCAGGUGACUUGUUGAGGGGCUAUCACGUUAACAUCUUUGGGGACCAAGACGGGAAGGAGAAGCCACAGCAGCAGACGACAAUUCCAACCACAGAAACGGUGAAGGGUGGCAUUAGGAGAAGAGUGCAGAGGCUGAAGAGGUGACCCUGAACAAAAGGAAGGCCCAAGUGGCUUGGAGACAUAACCAUGAAAGAUUCAAUGAAGGAUGAACGGUAGUCAUUAUGGAGCAUCUGCCACGGAGUCUUUUGGAAUAAUUUAUUUGAAGUUUAGCUUAACCAGCUCUGCCACACAGUAUGACAGUCAGAUCCUUCGUGUUUGACUGUGAGAUGUAUUCACAUCAAAA
Phascolarctos cinereus (koala) is the source of this 495-nucleotide non-coding RNA. The record is from RefSeq and is a predicted model, not a curated record. NCBI's taxonomy places the organism in Eukaryota, Metazoa, Chordata, Mammalia, Diprotodontia, Phascolarctidae.